Molecule: ribosomal RNA, 287 nt
Filed under: uncultured bacterium
Lineage: Bacteria
Description: partial 16S ribosomal RNA
Rfam family: Bacterial small subunit ribosomal RNA
Source: RNAcentral
GGAUUAGAUACCCUGGUAGUCCACGCCGUAAACUAUGAUUACUCGUUAUUGGCGAUACACAGUCAGUGACUAAGCGAAAGUGAUAAGUAAUCCACCUGGGGAGUACGGUCGCAAGAUUGAAACUCAAAGGAAUUGACGGGGGCCCGCACAAGCGGUGGAGCAUGUGGUUUAAUUCGAUGAUACGCGAGGAACCUUACCAGGGCUUAAAUGCAAGAUGACAAUUUGGGAAACCAGAUUUUCUUCGGACAUCAUGCAAGGUGCUGCAUGGCUGUCGUCAGCUCGUGCCG